GAAGUUUGUCUGAGAGAGACAGCGAGCGAAGUGGCAAGGGGUUGUUAGGGAGCAGCUGCCCCCGCCGCCGGUCCGUCUAGGCCACGAAGGGACCAGCUGCUGUCGAUGAGGGUGCCGUGGACGAGGGACGGAGCAGGGGAAGAUGAGGCCGUAGGUACAGAGAACCCCGGCAGGGGUCCCGUUGUAGUGCGACGCGUAGCAGCAGUCGCUGGCCCGGUGGCGACGGCGGUGCCAGAGGAGGAGGGACCACCGGCGCCCGCCAGGCGGGCGAGUCGACGUAUAAGAUCUAGACCUCCGUUGGACCAUGACCAGAUCACGCGGCACUACGACGGUGCCAGAGGAGGGGCCACGAGGAUCUAGGUUAUUAUAGAGUGGCCUCCGUUCGGCCACCACGAGCUAGAGGAGCGGAGGAAGUGGAGCGUCCUAGUCGUCGAUCCAAACUAGAGAGGGUCGUGUUCUUCGAGCUACUCGUUAUUCGUGAUCAUUACCUCCGUCUCCGUUAUCGAAAAGACAAUACACGGUAGUUCAUCGUUUUCAACUACGUUACACUAAUAAAACCAGGAAGUAUUAAUCAAAACGUACUCUACAUGGCUUUUACUAGGAACGUACGAUACAAUGUGAACUAUUCAAUACAUACACACAGAGAAGACAACACAAACCAGGCGCUAGUACGUUAAACUUUACAUACAAAUCAAUACUAAAGUUCACCUAUCUAAUUACAAGAGUACAUGAGAUCAUAACCACUACUAGAAGUGUAUGAAAAUCACUGAUCGUACGAGUUUACAUACCUAAAGAACGUACCAGGCACUACAUCAUCUUCGAUGAUUACUUUAGUUAUAUGUACCUUAGAGCAUAUCAUGUAUACAUACACGCCAAAACACAUUUGGAUUCUCCUCUCCCCGUGAGCAUGUCCAAACUUUUUAACAGAAUAAAUACUUCGUGUUGAACUAACUAUAUACUCUCUAGACUCCUAUAUACUCUCUAGACUCCACCAAUAACAUUCCUGUUGAACUAACUACAUACUCUCUAAACUCCACCAAUGACAUUCCUGUUGAACUAACUAUAUACUCUCUAAACUG
Molecule: ribosomal RNA, 1079 nt
Filed under: Triticum aestivum (bread wheat)
Lineage: Eukaryota; Viridiplantae; Streptophyta; Magnoliopsida; Poales; Poaceae
Description: partial small subunit ribosomal RNA
Source: RNAcentral